GACGAACGCUGGCGGCGUGCUUAACACAUGCAAGUCGAACGGAAAGGCCCUGCUUUUGUGGGGUGCUCGAGUGGCGAACGGGUGAGUAACACGUGAGUAACCUGCCCUUGACUUUGGGAUAACUUCAGGAAACUGGGGCUAAUACCGGAUAGGAGCUCCUGCUGCAUGGUGGGGGUUGGAAAGUUUCGGCGGUUGGGGAUGGACUCGCGGCUUAUCAGCUUGUUGGUGGGGUAGUGGCUUACCAAGGCUUUGACGGGUAGCCGGCCUGAGAGGGUGACCGGCCACAUUGGGACUGGGGAACGGCCAGACUCCUACGGGAGGCAGCAGUGGGGAAUAUUGCACAAUGGGCGGAAGCCUGAUGCAGCAACGCCGCGUGCGGGAUGACGGCCUUCGGGUUGUAAACCGCUUUCGCCUGUGACGAAGCGUGAGUGACGGUAAUGGGUAAAGAAGCACCGGCUAACUACGUG
This 467-nucleotide ribosomal RNA is filed under the name uncultured bacterium. RNAcentral describes it as "partial 16S ribosomal RNA". It matches the Rfam family "Bacterial small subunit ribosomal RNA", at positions 28 to 507 of the family's 1533-position model. The record is from RNAcentral.